GGAAGGGUGAUAGGUUGGCAUCAAGUGCUUACAAGAUGGGCAUUUCUAGUCUAAGGUCAGGCUGAAAGUCAUCAGAAACACCAUUUAAUUAUUAAUUUCUGCAAAGUGAAAGAAACUGAUGGGCCAUACUGACAUGAGUCAAAUUAUAGAUAGGGUGACUAAUUUGAGGAGAAUCAACAUAAGUCCAAGAAGGGAAAGGAGUUUAGCAGUGAACAAAAAUCGAAUCGGAUGGCAGAAGUUAUGGUCACAGCACAAGGAAGACUGCCUCAGAUGCCGGGUGGCAGGGAACACACGUGGUUAUUCCAAGGCCCUGACUUUGACCUCUGAGAGCAUCUUCCUUGCCCAAGUUCUCCCAACUGUAUCUGAGAGACUCAAAAUCAGUGAAGAAAUGUGGAAUAUUGCAGUGGAAACAGCACUAUGCUAA
RNAcentral lists this long non-coding RNA (424 nucleotides) under Canis lupus familiaris (dog). RNAcentral describes it as "lncRNA (ENSCAFG00845020683.1)". The record is from RNAcentral. Lineage: Eukaryota; Metazoa; Chordata; Mammalia; Carnivora; Canidae.